Molecule: long non-coding RNA, 2470 nt
Organism: Uranotaenia lowii
Lineage: Eukaryota; Metazoa; Arthropoda; Insecta; Diptera; Culicidae
Exons: 6
Source: RefSeq, a predicted model, not a curated record
CCGAUUGCAAAACAGAGUUGGCGCCACUCGAAUUCUAGCGGUUAGAAUUCGAUCCGUUUUCGGUUCGAUUUCCAUCCCCCUGCUCGAUUGCUCGAAAACAGACGAUAUUUUUCGCAUUGCUGCGAUGAACUAAACGAAACACGAGCAGUUUUCGAUCGCAGCAAUCCGGGUGCGUGUUUUGUUUUGGUGCAUGCGUGAUUGUUGUGAAAUUGUGUUUUUCUACAUUUUUUGAUUCUCAGCGAGUCGGGUACCGCUACGCCUUCAAAUCUUCCAUCAUGUUCCGGUGUUGCUUUGGAUAAGGAGGAAAUGGAACAAAAUUUUCCUGCUCCAAUGACGCUGCAUGGUGAGAAACAAAUUAGCCAGAAGGCCCGGGAUGUCACCCCAUAGUGCUUGCCCUUGCUGUUCCUAGCCUAACGGUGUGAUGUCGUGAACGCAGAAAUCUGACUUAAGCACACCAACAAUGUGACCAGGCAGAUGGUUGGAUUUUGGAGCAAGCAGGGUUCGUUCCGGUGUUGCCACACCGGAAGCUUCCAGAACAGAUGUGUCGAAUGUUGCUCAAAUUCAAAGCGGAUCUACACCCCGUCCCGUUGAUAAUCCGGUUGGUGUGGAGUUGAUUUCAUGCCGCCAGAAGAAAAAAAGGUCCCCUUUUGUAAUCCGUCACCACUACGGAACUGCCUAGUUUAGUGUUACGAGGAAUCCAAAGGUAGAAUAGAAAUAACUUCCGAUUGUACGAUCUUGAUUCGGUCGCGCAGUACACCAGAUUUUGGUACAAUUGCCCCCAAGUAUUUUUGGAAGUGCUUUCCGACGACGAAGCCGCAGUUGGGGGUGGACGAAUUCAGCAUGUACCAAACAUUGCAGCGUUCCAGAUAGCCUAGCUUAUGCCAUUCGAGGGUCAUGCGGGGUAGCAUGAAAUAUUACCAGAUCGUGGAAAAUACAUAUACCCCGAGUUUCAUAAAGGCGGACCCAUUCACAAAAAUCUGACAACAUUAAAAAAAAACCGAGCUCAUGAAGGCAGUUAUGCCUCCUAGGACCCGUCACAUUAGCAUCAGCAAAAAUCGUUAAUGUUGGCCGUGAUCGAUUGGAUUAGGUGAGCAGAUGUUUUUUGACCCACCGGGCAACAACGAACGGAUUUACCUAACCAAGGAAAUUUAAUACCGGAAUCAUCAUGUUCAAAAAAUGUUUAUCCGGUCGUCGAAUGACACGAUUAGUGACACCGUACUAAAGACGCUGUGCGCAAUAUACUGUCUGGUUGCAGAAUUGAUUAUUUUUUCUAUUUAAUACUAAUGUUUGGAUGAAAAUCUAAAAUUGGUUAUGCUUGCAAGUCAAACAGAUCAUCAUAACAAAGCGUACCUUUUUUAGCAUCUGAUUAGCUAUGAAGGGAUGAAAGCUGCUUCAAACUACGAAGCUUGGUAGGAAACGAAAAAGCCGAACUAUACGUUCUCGUGACUAAUAACGUUUUGGAUGAAUCAUUUUUCGGAGAUGCUUCUCGGUUAAAUUUCGGCAUACCGGGACAUUCGGCCACGGACUGUCGUACCGGUUCCACCGUUUCAUUCAUACGAUUUAAGGUUAAUGAAACCUUCCAUGAAAUUGCACUACCUAGAGAAACACGACGGGUGUGUCGAUAGAUCGAACAUUGCCGCAGACACAGCUGGUCAAUGGACCCUAUGAUCUCGAUAUCAGCCCUUAGAACUGGCAGAAAAACAAACAAGUUAAAGUUAUGGCGGCUUCAUCUGCUUCAACAAGUACUACAUUGUACUAUAUACAAUAUAGCAAAAUUUCAUCCAGCUCAACUAGGAGAUGCAACAUCUAUCUGGCUUUCCCCUAGGUGAAGUCAUCAAGUAAUAAGUCUUCUAAUGGUGCUAACAGUUAACUGUUAUACCGGUGGUGAACAUGAACAUAAGGAAAAUUCGUUACGAUGAUGUUUUUGCCUGCUGGAAAUAAGGUUGGCAAAAGGCGCAUCUUGGCCCGUCGAGAAUCGUCGAGGGAAAACUUAUAAUCUGCCAUCUUCCGUGGCUUCCUGGUGGAAGAAAACAAAUGUGGCAAAGAGGUUAAUCAACCGAUAAAACUUCGGAAAAGCAAUUAAUUGUUGUGUGGAGCCCCGAGACAAUUGCUAAGCAAUGACAAAUUGCAACUUAACAUAAAAUAUUUUCUGGCUAGGAAAAAUGUACAUUCUACAAUAAUAAGGCAGGAAGUGCAUUUUCGUGUACUUAUAUUUUAGGCACCAUUAAAUUUGUAGGAUUCAAGAAUCGCGAAGAAGAACAGCACGGCUAAGCAUUUCAAUCGAGACUAAUAUAUUCAGGCAGAAGGACAAAGAUUCAAGAUUUCUCAACAGCAAUUCUUUAUUACCAAACAAAUGAUUUGAAUUACUUCUUUAAAUAUUGGUAUACUACUUACAACUGAGUUAUAAUGGAUUGUAUUCGUAAAUUGUAUGUAAAUAAAAAAAAAUUGGAAAAUAAAAUAAAUUCUAAAA